RNAcentral lists this ribosomal RNA (1092 nucleotides) under uncultured Nitrososphaerota archaeon. RNAcentral's name for it is "bacterial SSU rRNA". It matches the Rfam family "Archaeal small subunit ribosomal RNA", at positions 1 to 1062 of the family's 1478-position model. Lineage: Archaea; Thermoproteati; Nitrososphaerota. The record is from RNAcentral.
UUCGCCCUUUUCCGGUUGAUCCCGCCGGACCCGACUGCUAUCGGAUUGAGAUUUAGCCAUGCGAGUCGAACGCUUCCCUGUUGCGGGAGGCGUGGCGUACGGCUCAGUAACACGUAGUCAACCUGCCCUGGAGACAUGGACAACCCCGGGAAACUGGGAUUAAUCCAUGAUAGGUCAUCUCAUCUGGAAGGAGAGAUGGCUUAAAGGGGUGCGAGAGCUUCUUUCUUGUAUCUGCUCCAGGAUGGGACUGCGGCCGAUCAGGCUGUUGGUGGGGUAAUGGCCCACCAAACCUGUAACCGGUACGGGCCUUGAGAGAGGGGGCCCGGAGAUGGACACUGAGAGAAGGGUCCAGGUCCUACGGGGCGCAGCAGGCGCGAAACCUUCGCAAUGCGCGAAAGCGUGACGAGGUUAAUCCGAGUGGUCCCCGCUGAGGGGAUCUUUUGUCGGCUGUAAAAAGGCCGGUGAAUAAGGGGAGGGCAAGUCUGGUGUCAGCCGCCGCGGUAAUACCAGCUCCUCGAGUGGUCGGGGCGAUUAUUGGGCCUAAAGCAUCCGUAGCCUGUUCUGUAGGUCCUCUGUUAAAUCCAACGGCUUAACCGUUGGCCCGCAGAGGAUACCGCAGGACUAGGAGGCGGGAGAGGUGGACGGUACUCCACGUGUAGGGGUAAAAUCCUUUAAUCCGUGGAAGACCACCAGUGGCGAAGGCGGUCCACCAGAACGCGCUCGACGGUGAGGGAUGAAAGCUGGGGGAGCGAACCGGAUUAGAUACCCGGGUAGUCCCAGCCGUAAACGAUGCAAGCUAGAUGAUCCGGUCGCAAAUCGCGAUCGGAGUGUCGCAGGGAAGCCGUUAAGCUUGCCGCCUGGGGAGUACGGUCGCAAGACUGAAACUUAAAGGAAUUGGCGGGGGAGCACCACAAGGGGUGAAGCCUGCGGUUCAAUUGGAGUCAACGCCAGGAAACUUACCAGGAGAGACAGCAGGUUGAGGGUCAAGCUGAAGACUUUACCUGACGAGCUGAGAGGAGGUGCAUGGCCGUCGCCAGCUCGUGCCGUGAGGCGUCCUGUUAAGUCAGGCAACGAGCGAGACCCAAAGGGCGA